UGUUAAAAAUUUCAUUUAUUUUUAUGAAUAAAAAUUGACAUAGCUGACAAAAUAAUUAAACUGUGACAUGUGACGUGCCUCUCAUGCUGACGUACAAGAGCCAAGUUUUUUACAAUAGUAAUGGAUGAAAUUUUUAACA
Molecule: non-coding RNA, 139 nt
Organism: Gossypium raimondii (Peruvian cotton)
Lineage: Eukaryota; Viridiplantae; Streptophyta; Magnoliopsida; Malvales; Malvaceae
Source: Rfam